GCGCGGUUAGCUCAGUGGUAGAGCGCGUCGUUGACAUCGACGAGGCCAGAAGUUCGAUCCUUCUACCGCGCA
Molecule: transfer RNA, 72 nt
Filed under: Candidatus Giovannonibacteria bacterium RIFCSPHIGHO2_01_FULL_48_47
Lineage: Bacteria; Candidatus Giovannoniibacteriota
Also listed under: 5 other names
Description: tRNA-Val
Rfam family: tRNA
About the family: Transfer RNA (tRNA) molecules are approximately 80 nucleotides in length. Their secondary structure includes four short double-helical elements and three loops (D, anti-codon, and T loops). Further hydrogen bonds mediate the characteristic L-shaped molecular structure. tRNAs have two regions of fundamental functional importance: the anti-codon, which is responsible for specific mRNA codon recognition, and the 3' end, to which the tRNAs corresponding amino acid is attached (by aminoacyl-tRNA synthetases). tRNAs cope with the degeneracy of the genetic code in two manners: having more than one tRNA (with a specific anti-codon) for a particular amino acid; and 'wobble' base-pairing, i.e. permitting non-standard base-pairing at the 3rd anti-codon position.
Source: RNAcentral